RNAcentral lists this ribosomal RNA (253 nucleotides) under uncultured bacterium. RNAcentral's name for it is "partial 16S ribosomal RNA". It matches the Rfam family "Bacterial small subunit ribosomal RNA", at positions 524 to 776 of the family's 1533-position model. The record is from RNAcentral.
UACGUAGGGUGCAAGCGUUGUUCGGAAUUACUGGGCGUAAAGCGCGCGUAGGCGGAUUGGAAAGUCGAUUGUGAAAGCCCUGGGCUCAACCUGGGAAUUGCAGUCGAAACUUCCAAUCUUGAAUGCUUGAGAGGAUGGCGGAAUUCCCGGCGUAGUAGUGAAAUACGUAGAUAUCGGGAAGAACACCUGAGGCGAAGGCGGCUAUCUGGCGAUGCAUUGACGCUGAGGCGCGAAAGCGUGGGGAGCAAACAGG